Molecule: ribosomal RNA, 301 nt
Filed under: uncultured bacterium
Lineage: Bacteria
Description: partial 16S ribosomal RNA
Rfam family: Bacterial small subunit ribosomal RNA
Source: RNAcentral
CAGCCGCCGCGGUAAUACGUAGGGUGCGAGCGUUAAUCGGAAUUACUGGGCGUAAAGCGUGCGCAGGCGGUUAUAUAAGACAGAUGUGAAAUCCCCGGGCUCAACCUGGGACCUGCAUUUGUGACUGUAUAGCUAGAGUACGGUAGAGGGGGAUGGAAUUCCGCGUGUAGCAGUGAAAUGCGUAGAUAUGCGGAGGAACACCGAUGGCGAAGGCAAUCCCCUGGACCUGUACUGACGCUCAUGCACGAAAGCGUGGGGAGCAAACAGGAUUAGAUACCCGUGUAGUCCCUGUCUCUUAUAA